GUUGCUGACAUCUACACCACCUUGCUCUGGUUGUGGUAUACACAGGCUGGCAGCUCUGCUCCAAUUGGACCCCUAGCCUGGGAGCUGCCAUAUGCCGCAGGUACAGCCCUGUAAAGGAAAAAAAAAAAGAAAAAGACAGCUUGAGUUCCCUAGUGGCUCAGCAGGUUUUGGGUUGUUUUUUUGUUUUUGGUUUUGUUUUUUUUCCCGUUUAAAAAAAUUUUAUUGAAGUGUAGUUGAUUUACAAGUUGUGAUAUUUUCUGCUCUACAACAGAGUGAUUCAGUUACACGUAUACACACAUCCAUUCUUUCUCAGAUUCUCUUCCCAUAUAGAUGAUCACAGAAUAUUGACUGGGUAGAGUUCCCUGUGCUGUACAGCAGGUCACCAGUGGCCCGUCAUUCAAUAUACAACGUGCGUGUGCCAAUCUCGAAUCCCCAGUUCACCCCUCCCCCCACCCCACCCGUCUCCUUGGGUCACCACAGGUUUGUUUACAAAGUCUGUGAGUCUGUGUCUGUGCUACAAUAAGUUCAUCUGUAUCUUUUAGACUCCGCGUGUAAGACUCCGCGUGUAAGUGAUAUCCUGUGAUGUUUGUUUUUCACUACUUCACUUAGUAUCUCUAGGUCCCAUCAAUGUUGCCGCAAAUGGCAUUAUUUCAUUCCUUUUUAUGGCUAAUGUUCCAUUGUGUGUAUAUAUAUAUGUACACACACACACACACACACACACACCCCACAUCUUCUUUAUACAGCAUAUACACGGGACUUGUUCUUGUAUCCAUUCAGCCAGUCUAUGUCUUUUGGUUGGAGCAUUUAGUCCAUUUACAUUUAAGGUCAUUAUUGAUAUGUAUGUUCUUAUUGCCCUUUGGUUAAUUGUUUUGGAUUUGUUUGUGUUGAUUUUCUCUGGCCCUUUAUCUCUUGGCCUUUUUUCUUCCCUUUUGUUCUCUUCUCUUGUGGUUUGAUGACUAUCUUUAGUGCUGUGUUUGAAUUGCAUCUGUUGUAGAUUUUUGGUUGGUGGUAACCAUGAGGUUUUGAUGUAGGCGUCUACAUAUACACACAAGAGUGCUUUAAGUUGCUGGUCUCUUCAUUGCAAAUGCAUUUCCAGGGUCCUGCGUUUGUCCCUCCUCUGCUCCCAGUGGCUGCUUUGGUGGCACGUGUGUGUGGAGGAUCUCCUACCUUCACUGAUGUUCGCCUUUACUGGGGAGCCUCCUCAUUUGUAAUUUUCUUCUUUCUAGUUGUGGCCUUUUCUUUCCAGCUAGAGAAGUUCCUGUAGUAUUUGUUGUAAAGCUGGUUUGGUGGCACUGAAUUCUCUUAGCUUUUGCUUGUCUGUAAAGGUUUUGAUUUCUCCUUCAACUCUGAAGGAAAGCCUUGCUGGGUAGCGUCAUCCUGGUUGCAGGUGUUUUCCUUUCAUCACUUUAAGUAUAUCGUGCCACUCCCUUCUGGCCCGCAGAGUUUCUGCUGAAAAAUGAGCUGAUAACCUUAUCUGGGUUCCCUUGUGUGUUAUUUGUUGCUUUUCCCUAGCUGCUUUCAGUAUUUGUUCUUUGACUUUAAUGGUGGUCAGUUUGAUUAAUAUGUGUCUUGGUGUGUUUCUCCUUGGGUUUAUUCUAUAUGGUAUUCAUUGUGCUUCCUGGAUUUGAGUGAGUGAGUCCUUUCCCAUGUUAGGGAAUUUUUCUGCUAUUAUUUCCUCAAAUAGCUGUGCAGCAGGUUAAGGAUCCUGUCUUGUCUUGUCACUGCUGUGGUGUGGAUUUGAUCCCUGGCCUAGGAACUUCUGCAUGCUAAGGGUGCCAGUCAAAAAAAAAAAAAA
This 1795-nucleotide long non-coding RNA is filed under the name Sus scrofa (pig). RNAcentral describes it as "lncRNA (ENSSSCG00015066271.1)". The record is from RNAcentral. Lineage: Eukaryota; Metazoa; Chordata; Mammalia; Artiodactyla; Suidae.